AGCAUGCUCUUAGGGAAAGGUGCAGAAUACACGAUUGAGCCACUUGUCGAAUAUGGUCAUCACAAGAGAAUAUUCUACUACCAUGAAUUAAAUAGCCUUUCUAAGUAUAAUGAGUCAUUUUUCUCUGAACAGUGGUAAAAGUAUACGUUUCAUAUACAUGAUUGAACUGAGAAGAUAAACAGACCA
Long non-coding RNA from Rhodamnia argentea, 186 nucleotides. RefSeq lists it as uncharacterized. The record is from RefSeq and is a predicted model, not a curated record. The transcript has 3 exons. Lineage: Eukaryota; Viridiplantae; Streptophyta; Magnoliopsida; Myrtales; Myrtaceae.